Long non-coding RNA from Planococcus citri (citrus mealybug), 770 nucleotides. RefSeq lists it as uncharacterized. The record is from RefSeq and is a predicted model, not a curated record. Lineage: Eukaryota; Metazoa; Arthropoda; Insecta; Hemiptera; Pseudococcidae. The transcript is spliced from 2 exons.
CUAGUUACCCGAACCUUCAAAAUUAAUUAAACUGUGAUAACUGUCGCGUAAAAUUUAUUUGUACAAUGUACGCGAUCAAGUGGAAUUUUAUAACUCACAGUAAGUACAUAAAAGAGUUGCACUAAGAGUUGUUAUAUUAGUCACAUUUGGUAUCAUUUUCUCUGAAAUUGUGGUAGAAAAAGUGCGUAGGUAGUAUAGAUUUCAUCACCCAAGUAAAAUAUACUGGAUAAAAUAAUAAUGAUAAUGUUAUCAAUUUUCACUUCGUCACUGGCUGUACUGCUGAUAUGCAGCUUCACUCCAUUCGUCGUGGCCGUCGAAACAAACAGAACCUUUCAUUAUACCUACGUAUUGACUGGUGUAAUUGAUGAUGUGCUUCUUUUAGAUAAACAUUCUACUUCGUUAGUUCCAGAAGAUACUGGAACAUUAUGUUACAUCGGCAUCGAUGCCGGCAAGUCCCCAGAAAAAGAUAAAGAAUGUUAUCACAAAAGUUACAGCAUGAAUUUAUGUAAAUUUGCCGAGAGAGUUCUCUUACAUAAGGACAAAGUUGAUCUCUAUGCCGUCCGUACGAUUGGCUCCAACAAAGUAGCUGGAAUUAAGUUUUCUGGUAAAACAUUUAGUUUUUGGAAUACCGAAAAACACCUUAAUAACGUUUGCAAGCCCGAAAAAUAACUUGUAAACUAAGCAAGUUAAUUUAUAGCCUCUAAUUAAGUAGAUGAUUUAUUGAAAACAUAAGAUGAUGAAAUAAACUUCAAUAAUGCCAUGAAGAAUUA